RNAcentral lists this ribosomal RNA (383 nucleotides) under uncultured bacterium. RNAcentral describes it as "bacterial SSU rRNA". It matches the Rfam family "Bacterial small subunit ribosomal RNA", at positions 1084 to 1465 of the family's 1533-position model. The record is from RNAcentral.
GUCCUGCAACGAGCGCAACCCUUUUCCUUAUUUGCCAGCGGGUUAAGCCGGGAACUUUAAGGAUACUGCCAGUGACAAACUGGAGGACGGCGGGGACGACGUCAAGUCAUCAUGGCCCUUACGACCAGGGCUACACACGUGCUCCAAUGGUCGGUACAAAGGGUUGCUACCUGGCGAUAGGAUGCUAAUCUAAAAAAGCCGUUCGUAGUCCGGAUUGGAGUCUGCAACUCGCCUCCAUGAAGUCGGAAUCGCUAGUAAUCGCGGAUCAGAAUGCCGCGGUGAAUACGUUCCCGGGCCUUGUACACACCGCCCGUCACACCAUGGGAAUUUGUUGCACCAGAAGUAGGUAGUCUAACCGCAAGGAGGACGCUGCCAACGGGUGC